GAUGAACGCUGGCGGCGUGCCUAAUACAUGCAAGUCGAGCGAACGGACGAGAAGCUUGCUUUUCUGAUGUUAGCGGCGGACGGGUGAGUAACACGUGGAUAACCUACCUAUAAGACUGGGAUAACUUCGGGAAACCGGAGCUAAUACCGGAUAAUAUUUUGAACCGCAUGGUUCAAAAGUGAAAGACGGUCUUGCUGUCACUUAUAGAUGGAUCCGCGCUGCAUUAGCUAGUUGGUAAGGUAACGGCUUACCAAGGCAACGAUGCAUAGCCGACCUGAGAGGGUGAUCGGCCACACUGGGACUGAGACACGGUCCAGACUCCUACGGGAGGCAGCAGUAGGGAAUCUUCCGCAAUGGGCGAAAGCCUGACGGAGCAACGCCACGAGAGUGAUGAAGGUCUUCGGAUCGUAAAACUCUGUUAUUAGGGAAGAACAUAUGUGUAAGUAACUGUGCACAUCUUGACGGUACCUAAUCAGAAAGCCACGGCUAACUACGUGCCAGCAGCCGCGGUAAUACGUAGGUGGCAAGCGUUAUCCGGAAUUAUUGGGCGUAAAGCGCGCGUAGGCGGUUUUUUAAGUCUGAUGUGAAAGCCCACGGCUCAACCGUGGAGGGUCAUUGGAAACUGGAAAACUUGAGUGCAGAAGAGGAAAGUGGAAUUCCAUGUGUAGCGGUGAAAUGCGCAGAGACGUGGAGGAACACCAGUGGCGAAGGCGACUUUCUGGUCUGUAACUGACGCUGAUGUGCGAAAGCGUGGGGAUCAAACAGGAUUAGAUACCCUGGUAGUCCACGCCGUAAACGAUGAGUGCUAAGUGUUAGGGGGUUUCCGCCCCUUAGUGCUGCAGCUAACGCAUUAAGCACUCCGCCUGGGGAGUACGACCGCAAGGUUGAAACUCAAAGGAAUUGACGGGGGCCCGCACAAGCGGUGGAGCACGUGGUUUAAUUCGAAGCAACGCGAAGAACCUUACCAAAUCUUGACAUCCUUUGACAACUCUAGAGAUAGAGCCUUCCCCUUCGGGGGACAAAGUGACAGGUGGUGCAUGGUUGUCGUCAGCUCGUGUCGUGAGAUGUUGGGUUAAGUCCCGCAACGAGCGCAACCCUUAAGCUUAGUUGCCAUCAUUAAGUUGGGCACUCUAAGUUGACUGCCGGUGACAAACCGGAGGAAGGUGGGGAUGACGUCAAAUCAUCAUGCCCCUUAUGAUUUGGGCUACACACGUGCUACAAUGGACAAUACAAAGGGCAGCGAAACCGCGAGGUCAAGCAAAUCCCAUAAAGUUGUUCUCAGUUCGGAUUGUAGUCUGCAACUCGACUACAUGAAGCUGGAAUCGCUAGUAAUCGUAGAUCAGCAUGCUACGGUGAAUACGUUCCCGGGUCU
This 1372-nucleotide ribosomal RNA is filed under the name uncultured bacterium. RNAcentral's name for it is "bacterial SSU rRNA". It matches the Rfam family "Bacterial small subunit ribosomal RNA", at positions 28 to 1381 of the family's 1533-position model. The record is from RNAcentral.